This 1847-nucleotide long non-coding RNA is filed under the name Mus musculus (house mouse). Its description in RNAcentral is "long non-coding RNA chr2:167954293-167956140". The record is from RNAcentral. Lineage: Eukaryota; Metazoa; Chordata; Mammalia; Rodentia; Muridae.
UCUAGUCAGUUGGUGGUGGCACGUGCCUUUAAUCUCAGUACUUGGGGGGCAGAGGCAGGCAAAUUUCUCUCUUGAGUUUGAGGCCAACCUGGUCUACAAAGCGAGUUGCAGAACAGCCAAGGCCACACAGAGAAAGCCCUGUCUUGAAAACAAAUAAACCAACCUUACUUUCUUCGUAGACUUCACCGAUCCUGUGGAAAGAGAAUAAACCCUCCCUGACCCCCGUCACUCCAGCUACUCACUGGAGACAUUUUGGGUUGGAAUCUGCCACUAAGAUUUUCUUUCUUGAAGUUUCAGUGAGGUCACUGCAGAUUCCUGUACAGCUGUGAGAUGACGCAGACUUCUCAUACCCUUUCUCCUCAGCCUGCUGCGUGUCUGUGAAACUGCAGCAGGGCCAGAGUGUGUAAUGCAUUUGUAUUUGAGAUGAUCCCUACUGUAGCUCAGGCUAUCCCGGAACUCAUGUUCUUCCCUAGCCUUCCAAGGGCUGACAUUUCUGUUCCCUCGCAGCCGGGCCUGGUGGCACAUGUCUAUAAUCCCAGCGGCAUUCAGGAGAGAGGCAGCAGUUACAGACUCUCAGCUCGUCACCAUUCUCUCUCUGUGCUGUCUAUCAUCCUGUGCAUCCCAGUCCCCUGCCGUCCCCUGGGCUCUUUCUGAUGUCAUUAGACCCCACACACUCCCUGACCGAGCUGUGCCCAUAAAUACUAGCUCCUCUGGGUGUGUAUCCUGUAUAGGCAGCAGAGAUAAAACGCCUAAUAGCCGUGUGUGCUGGUCCAGCCUGGGGUGAAGCUCACUGUCAUGUGGCAAGAGCCCAGAGUGAUGUGGUGCAGUCCCUGAGCAUGCUCGGGCAGGGGCAGUCCCUGGGCCCUUGGUCCUGUACUUGAAGUUUCCGUUGAACAGCUGGACCAUGGCGUUUAGUUAGUUUCCUCCCACUGAUGCCAGCCUUAGUCUGUUGGGACAGAGUCUGUCACUGGCCCUCUGUCCUACAGAGGCUACCCGGCAGCCACUUUCAGAGAUAGUACUUUUUUUUUUUAAUUUAUCUAUUUUUAUAUGUAAGUACACUGUAGCUGUCUUCAGACACUCCAGAAGAAGGAGUCAGAUCUCAUUACAGAUGGUUUUGAGCCACCAUGUGGUUGCUGGGAUUUGAACUUGGAACCUUCGGAAGAGCAGUGAGUGCUCUUAACUGCUGAGCCAUCUCUCCAGCCUGAGAUAGUACUUUUGAUUUCACUAGCCAAUCUUGAUACCUUCCCUUUCCACAUAGUGAACUUGUGGCCACAGGUGGUCUACCUCCUCGCUGAGGACAGGGACCUUGGCCAAUAUUCCACAGCCCCACAUCCCCACCCCCACACACCCCGUCCCUCAACACUCGGCCCAAACUGAAGGCAGGGAAGGAAAUUGGUGUCAAGCUUGUGGUCCUCAUACAUGGUUGCUCUAGUGAGCCCGGGGGCUGCAAUUCCCUGAUCUCAGAAGAAGCUGUGAAGAGGGCAGUGCAGCACAGCAGGGCUCAUAGCCCUCGUGGGACCAUGCUACAGCACUGGUGUUCCGGAAUUCCUGUCCACCCUGGGUUUUAGGAGGCCUUGGUUCUUGAUAACCUGUCUCUCUGACCUCUUGGGCUUUGGAGGAAAAGUAGUGUGUGCACGUCUUCAUAGGAUGUUCAAGCCACAGUAGCUGAGAGGGUUGGAAGUGACCUGCAGGAAAAGUGACAAGCAGUGUGCACGUGGGUGUACGUUCCUCUGGAAUUUGGGUUGUGGCAUUAAAAUGUAGACCAAUCCUUAAAGAAGGGUCUAGCUCUCAAAAGCUUCUGCAGGUGAUUAUAUGUCACUAGUAGAGGCUUGCUGCCUGUCCCCACU